Molecule: ribosomal RNA, 505 nt
Filed under: uncultured bacterium
Lineage: Bacteria
Description: partial 16S ribosomal RNA
Rfam family: Bacterial small subunit ribosomal RNA
Source: RNAcentral
GACGAACGCUGGCGGCGUGCCUAAUACAUGCAAGUAGAACGCACAGUUUAUACCGUAGCUUGCUACACCAUAGACUGUGAGUUGCGAACGGGUGAGUAACGCGUAGGUAACCUGCCUGGUAGCGGGGGAUAACUAUUGGAAACGAUAGCUAAUACCGCAUAAUAUUGAUUAUUGCAUGAUAAUUGAUUGAAAGAUGCUAUUGCAUCACUACCAGAUGGACCUGCGUUGUAUUAGCUAGUAGGUGAGGUAACGGCUCACCUAGGCGACGAUACAUAGCCGACCUGAGGGGGUGAUCGGCCACACUGGGACUGAGACACGGCCCAGACUCCUACGGGAGGCAGCAGUAGGGAAUCUUCGGCAAUGGACGAAAGUCUGACCGAGCAACGCCGCGUGAGUGAAGAAGGUUUUCGGAUCGUAAAGCUCGGUUGUAAGAGAAGAACGGGUGUGAGAGUGGAAAGUUCACACUGUGACGGUAUCUUACCAGAAAGAGACGGCUAACUACGUG